CAAGUCGAGCGAAUCUUGAAAAGCUUGCUUUUCUUGAUUAGCGGCGGACGGGUGAGUAACACGUGGGCAACCUGCCUGUAAGACUGGGAUAACUUCGGGAAACCGGAGCUAAUACCGGAUAAUCCUUUUCCUCACAUGAGGAAAAGCUGAAAGUCGGUUUCGGCUGACACUUACAGAUGGGCCCGCGGCGCAUUAGCUAGUUGGUGAGGUAACGGCUCACCAAGGCGACGAUGCGUAGCCGACCUGAGAGGGUGAUCGGCCACACUGGGACUGAGACACGGCCCAGACUCCUACGGGAGGCAGCAGUAGGGAAUCUUCCGCAAUGGACGAAAGUCUGACGGAGCAACGCCGCGUGAGCGAAGAAGGCCUUCGGGUCGUAAAGCUCUGUUGUUAGGGAAGAACAAGUACGAGAGUAACUGCUCGUACCUUGACGGUACCUAACCAGAAAGCCACGGCUAACUACGUGCCAGCAGCCGCGGUAAUACGUAGGUGGCAAGCGUUGUCCGGAAUUAUUGGGCGUAAAGCGCGCGCAGGCGGUUCCUUAAGUCUGAUGUGAAAGCCCCCGGCUCAACCGGGGAGGGUCAUUGGAAACUGGGGAACUUGAGUGCAGAAGAGAAGAGCGGAAUUCCACGUGUAGCGGUGAAAUGCGUAGAGAUGUGGAGGAACACCAGUGGCGAAGGCGGCUCUUUGGUCUGUAACUGACGCUGAGGCGCGAAAGCGUGGGGAGCAAACAGGAUUAGAUACCCUGGUAGUCCACGCCGUAAACGAUGAGUGCUAAGUGUUAGAGGGUUUCCGCCCUUUAGUGCUGCAGCAAACGCAUUAAGCACUCCGCUUGGGGA
This 839-nucleotide ribosomal RNA is filed under the name uncultured Bacillus sp. RNAcentral describes it as "bacterial SSU rRNA". It matches the Rfam family "Bacterial small subunit ribosomal RNA", at positions 58 to 879 of the family's 1533-position model. The record is from RNAcentral. Lineage: Bacteria; Bacillati; Bacillota; Bacilli; Caryophanales; Bacillaceae.